AUCGGCUAUUACCUGGAACCAAUACAUUUGGAUCAUAGGGUAUCUGAGUCAUGCCGUGAACACUGAUGUGCGGAAGGAUGUUUUCAGUUUUAAAGCUACCAUCAGAGCAAAGAUGAUGUAACAUAUGCCCUUGGAUAACAGUCAUGCAUCAUGUACCAGCUUCAUGUACCAGCAUGUCAGGUCCUGCACCAGCUUGAGGAACUGAGCAGAGUCAAUAGAUCAGUUUACCACAGCAUCUAUUUGCAGUACUGUGACUCAACAAUGCAUCCCACUUUAAUCUAAGAUGGCCCACUGGCAAGCAGGAGUGAAAGCUGACACCGUACAGCAGAGGACCCUCCGGCUAUGUAAAGAGGGGAGAAGGGUUUGGAAGAAGAAAAAGGUGUGUUUGAAGCUUAAAAUCAGCCAGAGUAACACAGUGUGUGAAAUCUAUACUGUUAGUCAUUUUCAUUGGUAUUAGUAUUACCAUGGCAAUCAGGAUAUAAUGAAGGAAGUUUUUUAAAGUGUUGAUGUCAGAAGAUAUGAAAUAGUAACUUUCAUUUCCUCAGAUUUGUGAUCAAGUUCAUCACUUGACUCACUUGAAUUAGGAAAUUGCAGUGAUGUUAUUUUUUUUAUUUUUAGAGGAACACAUACCCACAUGUUGAACCUCGCUUGCUCUCUUUUAU
Oreochromis aureus is the source of this 662-nucleotide long non-coding RNA. The record is from Ensembl. Lineage: Eukaryota; Metazoa; Chordata; Actinopteri; Cichliformes; Cichlidae.